This 86-nucleotide transfer RNA is filed under the name Ectothiorhodospiraceae bacterium AqS1. RNAcentral describes it as "tRNA-Leu". It matches the Rfam family "tRNA". Rfam says of the family: Transfer RNA (tRNA) molecules are approximately 80 nucleotides in length. The record is from RNAcentral. Lineage: Bacteria; Pseudomonadati; Pseudomonadota; Gammaproteobacteria; Chromatiales; Ectothiorhodospiraceae.
GCCGAAGUGGUGGAAUUGGUAGACACGCUAUCUUGAGGGGGUAGUGCCUUCGUGGCGUGCCGGUUCGAGUCCGGCCUUCGGCACCA